Long non-coding RNA from Syzygium oleosum, 2332 nucleotides. RefSeq lists it as uncharacterized. The transcript is spliced from 3 exons. The record is from RefSeq and is a predicted model, not a curated record. Lineage: Eukaryota; Viridiplantae; Streptophyta; Magnoliopsida; Myrtales; Myrtaceae.
GAUUCGCCGGCAAAAAUUCAGGUGUCGACAUGAUGAAGUCAUGUCGACACCUGAAUUAGCAAAUGAAGUCAUUGCUAUAUGCUCUUCAUAUUUGGUAAAUUAUUUUCUAUGGGCUAGGUGAUUACUACGUUCAACUUUUUCUUAUCCCUACCGGCGCUUCAAAAGUGGUUCUGUGCCAACUCGAAAUAUUGGUGCAGCAUUACCUCGAGGAGAGUGGCAAACAGCGCAACUGUCGACGGAACUUUAAGGCGAAUGCCCCGUCAUCUGGUUGAUGAAAGGGCUGUAGUAAACUUUUAAUCUGUGAUUGCUCAUGCAGUUGUUCUUGCCGUGCCGACUGCUCGUUUGUUCAAUUCCUUUUCUCCAGGUUGGCAAUUAUUAUGUUGGUAGCUUUGCACCCUUUUGUUUAAAGAUGAUGAUGCUGCACGAUCUACUUUCUGACCUUUUUACAGCUACAGUCCUUGAAGAAGCUUCCUGGAGACUAUGAGAAUGAUGCAUGAACUAAGCAGUUACUGCAACAUAUGUUGCUCCGUCUGAGCUCGUCUGGCGGCUGCUCACAAAAUAAAAGGACUUGCUCUACUUGGACGCCUUCAUUUUGUACCGAUCUUAGGAUUUCGAUUUUCAUCUUUACUUGAGCUCACUUUAUUGAGCUCAUGUGUCAGUUGUCGCUGUUCGACGCUCGAAGAAUCUUUUCCAGUGUUUUUCGUCGUCAAACAGUCUGUUUAUGUAACUUCGCAUCCAUUUUCAUGGUCAUCCUUGACGAUCAUUACAAUUAGGGUCAUUGCAUCUUCUGACUUCCUCUCAAAACAUGUAAAUACAUGCAUUCAAGAAAGCAACAUCAUAUGGUUGUGCUAGAGGGACCCAAUAUUUCUAGCCGGGGUUUCUUAUUUUUGGUGUUCACUUCAGUUGCGAACAGGAGUUGCUCCUCAGGAUCAGACCAAGUUGUGGUGGGGAACAUUUUACAUCUCCAAGAACAUGAUGACGAGAAUGUGGCAGAAGAAGUUGUUUCAGCAUGUGGAAACGAUGACUCCUCCAAUGCCAAUGGUUGCACCCAUUGGGAUGAGACAUCUGAAAUGGAAUUUUCUGGUGGAAUGUCAUCCUUUUGUUAAGUUCAAGAGUAAUAUACCCAAAUAAUGAUGUUGCAGACAUUUAUCAUGAUUUGGCAAAGAAGGUCAGGUGCCUCUUGGGAAUUCAACAAGCAUCAUUCAAUGCAUCUCGUUUGCAUCCUGUUAUUUGUGGCAUUUAAGAGCGAAUUUUCAAAAUUCGAGGGACCCAAGGACUUGCAGCUUACACCCACCCCCCAACACAGACUUGAUAAAAGAUGCAUAAUGGCAAUCCCUAGCAUUGGAGAUAGUGGUGAAGUUACCAUGUGAUCACUCAGACCACAAGUUUACAUUGGUGGAAGUGUUUUUGGCUAAUGAUAGAACACUACAUAUGUAAAGACAGAGUUCCCCCUGUUCCGCUAGAAUUUCCGAAACAUGUUUAGGAUGCUUGUGUGAUCCAGUCAGAUAUGAUAAUGGCCCUUUUAGCUCAAGUGGACUAAGGAGACCUAAAGUUAUGCCAAAAAUUAAACUGCGUGAUGAUUGCUCAUAUUUAUUUUUCUGCAAGAAAGAAUUUUUUCUAAUAGUGGGAGAAGGAUACUUGUAAAGAGAACUUGGCUUGGGACGAUAAGCGUAAAGUUUCUUCUACAUUUCUGGAUACUCUCCAACCUUUGUUUGUUCUGUUUCUGAGCCUCACUCAAACGAUGUAUCCCACAGUUCUCCCAUCAGCUUGACAGAGAGCGUACCCAAUGUCAAGUAAAUUUCUCUCGUUCCUAAUUUAUUGGCUAAACCUCUUAAUACUUCCCCUCUUAAGGUCUUCCGCACUACCUACAACAUAUCCCAUUAAGAGCAGUUUCUGUUCACUUGGCUACACAUUAGUCCAGUUUAUUUUGGUAUGUCAUAGGGAAUUCUCUAUAACAAGUAUGACAGGAGGUUACAGGCGGGUUUUUCAGAAACCAAUGGACUAUGAAUGGUGUGAUCUGGCUUUUCCUGUUAUUUUCUGCCCCCAUCUUUCUCAAAUAUCUUGUUAGCCGGAUAUAAAAAUUCUGAGAUUGUUCCUCUCAGCAACAUUGUUUUCUGCUGGCACAGGGAGAUGCUCAGAUACAGUGAUUAUGGUGUACCGCUGGCCGAGAGUGAUUUAGACAAAUUUACCAAAUUCAAGCCUCUCAGGGUAGCUGAAGGGAAGGACGUUGUCAGUGGAAACGAAGACAAUAAUCUAUCAAAUUCUGUGAACCCGUCUUGUGAGAACGGUGUGAAUGCUUCAGUAAGCGCUGGUGAAGCUAGUAUCUCUGACA